This 375-nucleotide ribosomal RNA is filed under the name uncultured Syntrophomonas sp. RNAcentral describes it as "bacterial SSU rRNA". It matches the Rfam family "Bacterial small subunit ribosomal RNA", at positions 1007 to 1382 of the family's 1533-position model. The record is from RNAcentral. Lineage: Bacteria; Bacillati; Bacillota; Clostridia; Eubacteriales; Syntrophomonadaceae.
GGAUGGAGUGCCUUCGGGAGCGUGGAGACAGGUGGUGCAUGGUUGUCGUCAGCUCGUGUCGUGAGAUGUUGGGUUAAGUCCCGCAACGAGCGCAACCCUUGCUAUUAGUUGCUAACAGGCAGAGCUGAGCACUCUAAUGGGACUGCCGGUGACAAGCCGGAGGAAGGUGGGAUGACGUCAAAUCAUCAUGCCCUUUAUGACCUGGGCUACACACGUGCUACAAUGGAUGGUACAGAGAGCAGCGAGGCAGCGAUGUGGAGCGAAUCUCAAAAAGCCAUUCUCAGUUCGGAUUGGAGUCUGCAACUCGACUCCAUGAAGUCGGAAUCGCUAGUAAUCGCGAAUCAGCAUGUCGCGGUGAAUGCGUUCCCGGGCCUU